UAGGUAAUUUGAUUGAGAACGCGUUUUGGAACGUUAAUUGCGCAGAAGGAUGCGCAGAAGGAUGCGCAGAACGUCAGUCAGGUGGUAAACAUCGAGAAAGUGAUUUCAGAAAUUUGUUGGAGUUAUUUUUGAUGCUCGAGGCGGCGGCAGUCGAUGAAAAUUUACUACGCUGUGGAGAAUCAUGUCGGUUGGUCAACAACACAGAAUUCACGACGCUAGCGAAAUCGACAUAACCAAUUGAUUGGAGAUCUAAACAUAUAAACAAGCAAGAUUUAAGAAAAUCACUUGGGAAUCGCUGACGGGAUUUCAGAGGUUCCUCAAGAUAAUGGUACUACAAAAGCAUGGGGAUUUGAAGAAGUCUUCUGUUGCCUGUCCUUUCUUCCACAUUUACAAAAACGUUCUACGUUGAACAUUGAAAUUCAAAUGAUAGAAACGUACAACUACAGAUUUAUACAGAAGAUGACAACCUUUCUUAUUACUCUCAGAUACAUCAUGGCUUUCAUCAUCCAUAUGUUAUCGCGGUCCAAUUAAAAUUCAGAUUUACUGGCGGCAGACGUAGUAACAAUAUUAAGGAUCAGGGAACCAUUUCACGAGCGAAGACGACGUUUCGUUCUCCGUAACCCCUUGCACGGUUAAUGAAGAGUUCGCUAUAUCCCGGGAUGGCAGCUGACGUUGCAUUCAUGCAUGAGAGUGCCGCGUCCCGGUCAUUUGGCCUGUGGUGCGACUAAAAACAAGGCAGCGCUCUCGAGUUUUGUCCCAUCGGUGGCCGGUAACGCGCCUUCCAUGGGGACCAGCAGCAAAAGAAAAUUUCAAAGGGGACCAUCGACCCGCUGGCCCACACAUCGAGUUGCCGGAACAUGCGGAUUAAGCCAUUAAAGCCUGCUUCAAGCUGUUUCGGGGAAAUUCACGAGACAGAGAGUUCGUUAUUGUUACUCUAUCACAAGCAAAACUGCUGUCCGUUUAUUUCGAUACAUGCGACGAAUGAACCGUCGUGUCGCCAUGAGAUUAUUAUUGAACCUGCACCUUGAUUCUCUUGCUAUAGGAUAAGGGAGAGAUAUUUGAGUCAAGCUAAGUAAUUCGUCAAAUUAUUUUGUUUACCAACAAUUUUUAAGAUUUACAUUUGAAAACACAUUAUUUAGCUCUUUUUAACUGACGUGAUAUAUCCUUGUUAAUUCAAAUAGGGCCACCAUAGGUCUAUUUGAAUCAUUUUCUCAUGCAUAAGCAUGUAUGAUAUUUUCUCAUCAUUUGAUUCAUUUGAUUAUUCCAUGCAAAGUUAAAAAUUAAAUUUUAAGAUGUUGAAGAUAUUGGCACAAGUAACCCUAACUUACUACCAUACCUAGAUUUAAUAUUCAAAAUUCUACUUUUAAGUUAUGUUCUGAUGUGCAUGUAAUAAUCAGUUACUGAUGUGUUUGUGUAAUCUAUCCUUCGGUUUAAUUUCGUGAUUUUCAAUAAAUUUUCAGUAAAAUGAUCAUGUACAUCUCUCAUAUACUAAGAGAUACCUUGGUGUUUAUUUGAAAUUUCUACGAAGAUUCUUAUCGACUCCUCAAGCUCGUAAAAGUAUGCCUUCGUUUCACCGCGUGAAACGACCAACAAAUUACACAACGGUCAGACUUUUACUUGAAUGAGCAAAGAACCGCGAGAACAGCGAUGGUCAAGCACGCGCGAGACCUUCCACGAGAUAAUUUAUUGGUCAAUCAAAAUGACGCAUGGAGGUAUAAGGUGACACGUCAGCGUGCACGGUUGACCAUUAAUUUUAAUACCCGUCACCAUCAGAUCUCCCGACGCUGCUUUCCACGUUGGCUCCCCACUGACGGUGGAGCGUAUCCAUCGGCAUCGGCUACCGUACGACUAAUGCCCCGUUCACUAACGACGAUCAUCCUUGAAGAUCUCGGUCUACCGAUCUCUCACGGUCGCCACGAAUUAUUAUCCUUCUCUUAAUCCCGCGUAGCUGACCCGCCGCACAAUUCUAUCGGGUGGCAAUUUCAAUAAUGGAACAAAUCGAAGGAUUAAGCUUUUUGAAUAUAUAGAAAAAAAUUAGGGAACUUAGAGAAACAAGCAAAUUUUCGAAACGGAGUUAAAGAUUAGAGACAAUCUUUUAUGUGCAACUUCCACAAAAUAGCAGCAAAAGAAAUGAUCGUGAAUAUAAUACACUGAUAAAGAGACAAGGGAUAACGAAGAAAAACGAAAAGCGGAAUAAACCAAUAAAUACCUACAAUCUUGUGAAAAAUCAUGCAAUUAAGAUACGAUCAAACGAAAGCUGCGAGCUGGCGUCCGAAUAUAUCAAUGGUACGCCAA
Long non-coding RNA from Bombus terrestris (buff-tailed bumblebee), 2295 nucleotides. RefSeq lists it as uncharacterized. Lineage: Eukaryota; Metazoa; Arthropoda; Insecta; Hymenoptera; Apidae. The transcript is spliced from 4 exons. The record is from RefSeq and is a predicted model, not a curated record.